GUUGAUUAACAUAAUUAUUUAAAAAAACAAACUAAUGAAACAGGCCUGGACAAAAAUGAUGGUACCUCUAUAAAAGAUUGAAAACUAUUUGACCAGAGUGACAUGAUUAACUCAGGUGUGUCAUUUAAUUGACAUCACAGGUGUUUCCAAACUCAUAAUCAGUCAGUCUGCCUAUUUAAAGGGAGACAAGUAGUCACCCUGCUGUUUGGGGAAAAGGUGUGUACCACACUGAACAUGGACAACAGAAAGCGAAGGAGAGAAUUGUCCCAGGACAUCCGAAAAAAAUUAUAGACAAACAUCUUAAAGGUAAAGGCUAUAAGACCAUCUCUAAACAGCUUGAAGUUCCUGUGACAACAGUGGCUCAUAUUAUUCAGAAGUUCAAGACCCACGGGACAGUAGCCAACCUCCCUGGACGUGGCCGCAAGAGGAAAAUUGAUGACAAAUUGAAGAGACGGAUCGUUGGAAUUGUAUCCAAAGAGCCCAGAGCAACCUCCAAAGAAAUUAAAGGUGAACUCCAAGGCCAAGGUACAUCAGUGUCAGAUCGCACCAUUCGUCGUUGUUUGAGCCAAAGUGGACUUCAUGGGAGACGACCAAGGAGGACACCACUGCUGAAAAAAACUCAUAAAAAAGCCAGACUGGAAUUUGCAAAAAUGCAUGUUGACAAGCCACAAAGCUUCUGGGAGAAUGUCCUUUGGACAGAUGAGACCAAACUAGAGCUUUUUGGUAAGGCACAUCAACUCUAUGUUCAUAGACUCAAAAACCAAGCAUACGAAGAAAAGAACACUGUCCCUACGGUGAAACAUGGAGGAGGCUCAGUAAUGUUUUGGGGCUGCUUUGCUGCAUCUGGCACAGGGUGUCUUGAAAGUGUGCAAGGUACGAUGAAAUCUGAAGCCUAUCAAGGCAUUCUGGAGAGAAAUGUGCUGCCUAGUGUCAGAAAGCUUGGUCUCAGUCGCAGGUCAUGGGUCUUCCAACAGGACAACCAUCCAAAACACACAGCCAAAAACACCCAAGAAUGGCUGAGAGAAAAGCGUUGGACUAUUCUAAAGUGGCCUUCUAUGAGCCCAGAUCUGAAUCCCAUUGAACAUAUGUGGAAGGAGCUGAAACAUGCCAUUUGGAGAAGACACCCAUCAAACCUGAGACAACUGGAGCUGUUUGCUCAUGAG
Long non-coding RNA from Acanthochromis polyacanthus (spiny chromis), 1163 nucleotides. RefSeq lists it as uncharacterized. The transcript is spliced from 2 exons. NCBI's taxonomy places the organism in Eukaryota, Metazoa, Chordata, Actinopteri, Pomacentridae. The record is from RefSeq and is a predicted model, not a curated record.